This is a long non-coding RNA of Sinocyclocheilus grahami, 1127 nucleotides long. RefSeq lists it as uncharacterized. Lineage: Eukaryota; Metazoa; Chordata; Actinopteri; Cypriniformes; Cyprinidae. The record is from RefSeq and is a predicted model, not a curated record. The transcript has 3 exons.
GCCAAGACCUUUACGUUCAAAUGUAAACAAUUUCUUAAUUGUAAUCUUGGCACUAUAACUAAUAAUAGCAGAAUGACAGAAACUAAAGUGCAGUUUAGCCUCCGCGCCACUAGGCGGCAUAAGCGGGUUUCAGCUUCAGUCUGACUCCUUCGGCUGCUUGACAACAUGACGCUUGAUGACAGUCACAACAACAACACGUGCAGAUCCUGCAGAUGACAGCUGUUAAUGUCAGUUUAACAACAUGUUUUUCAGCUAAUCUGCAAAUAAAACCGACACACGGUCCGAUAAAACGCUGGAAUCGAGUGUGACGCGUCUCACCCAAUAAAUUAUGUGAUGUUGGUUGUAAACUGGUCCGGCUGAAGCAGAGCUCUGGACGUGUGGACAGACAUUGACUGUAAUGAUGGACAUCUGCUCAGGGACAGUCUGUGCAAAAGUAUAACCGCUGCGGGUCACGGUGCUGGAAGCUCCAGGGGGAGACCGUACUGAUAUCCCCCUUCUUCGGGCGCGCCUUCACACACACUCCAGCAUUCACUCAUAUCGCAGAGACCUGGCUGGGAUCAAACCAGCAACCUCUGAACCCGUGAGGCAGUGCUCUUACCUGUGAGCCACAGGUCUCUUGUUGGAGUACAUGAGUACAAGAAGUUUACCUGUGAUUUCCCAGUACAGAAGUUAAAGUAACGUGUGUAUGUGGUGGAGAGAUUUGAACCCAUGUCUCCAUCACAAACUCAUACUCAGAAGACGUGUGUUUAUCCACUAAGCCAUCAUGGAUUUCACGUUGUUUUCUGACGUUUGAGUGACUUUGUUGGCUGUGACCAGUUUAAAGUAAGCAAUAAUGGGAUUCAAACCAGGACUUUUAUAUGUGAGAGUGAAACCUUUUACCACUGAGCCACAGAGAUUGUAGGUUUGUACUUGUUUUUAUUUUUAGGCUUGUUUAGAUUUUAAGUUUAAGUUGAGUAAAAGAUGUUACUGCUUCUGUGGGAUUUGAACACAUCUUUGUUGUAGUUUCAUGAUUCAAAGUCACAUGUUUAGCCAACGCACCACUAGGCUUUUAUAUUGUUUGAACCUCAUUUUAGGUUAGACACAAGUAAGUUUAAAACUCUCUAUAUUUGAUUCAGUACUUUCACACC